This 338-nucleotide ribosomal RNA is filed under the name uncultured bacterium. RNAcentral describes it as "bacterial SSU rRNA". It matches the Rfam family "Bacterial small subunit ribosomal RNA", at positions 30 to 371 of the family's 1533-position model. The record is from RNAcentral.
AUUGAACGCUGGCGGCAUGCCUUACACAUGCAAGUCGAACGGUAACGCGGGGCAACCUGGCGACGAGUGGCGAACGGGUGAGUAAUGCAUCGGAACGUGCCCAUUAGUGGGGGAUAGCCCGGCGAAAGCCGGAUUAAUACCGCAUACGACCUACGGGUGAAAGCAGGGGAUCGCAAGACCUUGCGCUAUUGGAGCGGCCGAUGUCAGAUUAGGUUGUUGGUGGGGUAAAAGCCACCAAGCCGACGAUCUGUAGCUGGUCUGAGAGGACGACCAGCCACACUGGGACUGAGACACGGCCCAGACUCCUACGGGAGGCAGCAGUGGGGAAUUUUGGACAA